GACCGCGUAGCUCAGUUGGCAGAGCAUUGGGCUAGUAUUCCAAAGGUCGGAGGUUCGAUUCCCGCCGUGGCCA
RNAcentral lists this transfer RNA (73 nucleotides) under Paramuricea clavata. It matches the Rfam family "tRNA". From Rfam's summary of the family: Transfer RNA (tRNA) molecules are approximately 80 nucleotides in length. Lineage: Eukaryota; Metazoa; Cnidaria; Anthozoa; Malacalcyonacea; Plexauridae. The record is from Rfam by way of RNAcentral.